Molecule: ribosomal RNA, 497 nt
Filed under: uncultured bacterium
Lineage: Bacteria
Description: partial 16S ribosomal RNA
Rfam family: Bacterial small subunit ribosomal RNA
Source: RNAcentral
GACGAACGCUGGCGGCGUGCCUAAUACAUGCCAGUAGAACGCUGAAGAGAGGAGCUUGCUCUUCUUGGAUGAGUUGCGAACGGGUGAGUAACGCGUAGGUAACCUGCCUUGUAGCGGGGGAUAACUAUUGGAAACGAUAGCUAAUACCGCAUAACAAUGGAUGACACAUGUCAUUUAUUUGAAAGGGGCAAUUGCUCCACUACAAGAUGGACCUGCGUUGUAUUAGCUAGUAGGUGAGGUAACGGCUCACCUAGGCGACGAUACAUAGCCGACCUGAGAGGGUGAUCGGCCACACUGGGACUGAGACACGGCCCAGACUCCUACGGGAGGCAGCAGUAGGGAAUCUUCGGCAAUGGGGGCAACCCUGACCGAGCAACGCCGCGUGAGUGAAGAAGGUUUUCGGAUCGUAAAGCUCUGUUGUAAGUCAAGAACGAGUGUGAGAGUGGAAAGUUCACACUGUGACGGUAGCCUACCGGAAAGGGACGGCUAACUACGUG